This 527-nucleotide ribosomal RNA is filed under the name Mesoflavibacter sp. RNAcentral describes it as "bacterial SSU rRNA". It matches the Rfam family "Bacterial small subunit ribosomal RNA", at positions 380 to 907 of the family's 1533-position model. The record is from RNAcentral. Lineage: Bacteria; Pseudomonadati; Bacteroidota; Flavobacteriia; Flavobacteriales; Flavobacteriaceae.
ACUCUGAUCCAGCCAUGCCGCGUGCAGGAAGACUGCCCUAUGGGUUGUAAACUGCUUUUAUACAGGAAGAAACACCUCUACGUGUAGAGAUUUGACGGUACUGUAAGAAUAAGGAUCGGCUAACUCCGUGCCAGCAGCCGCGGUAAUACGGAGGAUCCAAGCGUUAUCCGGAAUCAUUGGGUUUAAAGGGUCCGUAGGUGGAUAAUUAAGUCAGAGGUGAAAUCCUGCAGCUUAACUGUAGAAUUGCCUUUGAUACUGGUUGUCUUGAGUUGUUAUGAAGUGGUUAGAAUAUGUAGUGUAGCGGUGAAAUGCAUAGAUAUUACAUAGAAUACCAAUUGCGAAGGCAGAUCACUAAUAAUAUACUGACACUGAUGGACGAAAGCGUGGGGAGCGAACAGGAUUAGAUACCCUGGUAGUCCACGCCGUAAACGAUGGUCACUAGCUGUUCGGGUUUCGAUCUGAGUGGCUAAGCGAAAGUGAUAAGUGACCCACCUGGGGAGUACGUUCGCAAGAAUGAAACUCAAAUG